Molecule: ribosomal RNA, 564 nt
Filed under: uncultured cyanobacterium
Lineage: Bacteria; Bacillati; Cyanobacteriota
Description: bacterial SSU rRNA
Rfam family: Bacterial small subunit ribosomal RNA
Source: RNAcentral
CCUACGGGAGGCAGCAGUGGGGAAUUUUCCGCAAUGGGCGAAAGCCUGACGGAGCAACGCCGCGUGAGGGAUGAAGGCCUCUGGGCUGUAAACCUCUUUUAUCAAGGAAGAAGAUCUGGCGGUACUUGAUGAAUAAGCCACGGCUAAUUCCGUGCCAGCAGCCGCGGUAAUACGGGAGUGGCAAGCGUUAUCCGGAAUUAUUGGGCGUAAAGCGUCCGCAGGCGGUCUUGUAAGUCUGUCGUUAAAGCGUGGAGCUUAACUCCAUUUCAGCGAUGGAAACUGCAAGACUAGAGUGUGGUAGGGGCAGAGGGAAUUCCCGGUGUAGCGGUGAAAUGCGUAGAUAUCGGGAAGAACACCAGUGGCGAAGGCGCUCUGCUGGGCCAUAACUGACGCUCAUGGACGAAAGCCAGGGGAGCGAAAGGGAUUAGAUACCCCUGUAGUCCUGGCCGUAAACGAUGAACACUAGGUGUCGGGGGAAUCGACCCCCCCGGUGUCGUAGCCAACGCGUUAAGUGUUCCGCCUGGGGAGUACGGUCGCAAGAUUAAAACUCAAAGGAAUUGACGG